Populus euphratica (Euphrates poplar) is the source of this 195-nucleotide long non-coding RNA. RefSeq lists it as uncharacterized. The record is from RefSeq and is a predicted model, not a curated record. The transcript is spliced from 3 exons. NCBI's taxonomy places the organism in Eukaryota, Viridiplantae, Streptophyta, Magnoliopsida, Malpighiales, Salicaceae.
UAUAUAUAUAUAUAUAUAUAUAUAUAUACGUACAUCAAUAAUGAUAAUGGUUCCAUUGACUCUCCAGGCAAUUAUUUUAUUACAUUUUGUUUAAUCUCAUAUACAUCAAGUGCCUGAAAUACAUAUAUAUAUAUAACCACAGGAGGUAGUGAAAUAAAUCGUGCAGAACUGCAAGCGGCGGGAGACCUCUCUCUU